GCUGGGCAUGGUGGAGGGUGCCUGUAGUCCCAGCUACUCGGGAGGCUGAGGCAGGAGAAUCACUUGAACCCAGGAGGUGGAGUUUGCAGUGAGCUGAGAUCGCGCCACUGUACUCCAGCCUGGGCGACAGAGUGAGACUCUGUCUCAA
RNAcentral lists this small RNA (148 nucleotides) under Pongo abelii (Sumatran orangutan). Its description in RNAcentral is "Metazoan signal recognition particle RNA (ENSPPYG00000038193.1)". Lineage: Eukaryota; Metazoa; Chordata; Mammalia; Primates; Hominidae. The record is from Rfam by way of RNAcentral.